This 2284-nucleotide small RNA is filed under the name Arabidopsis thaliana (thale cress). Its description in RNAcentral is "ATSL169060". Lineage: Eukaryota; Viridiplantae; Streptophyta; Magnoliopsida; Brassicales; Brassicaceae. The record is from RNAcentral.
AUUAGGGCAUGAUAUGGAGAUUAUGUACAAACCAGGUGUUGAAAAUAAAGCGGCACAUGGGUUGUCUAGAAUUCCACAGCGGUUCAGUUACAGGAGUUAUAUUCGGAGAUUGCAGAUGAUCCGAUUAUACAAGCUCUGAUUUUACAAGUACAACAGAAUUCUAAUGGUUUGCGACAUUAUGCGUUGGUAGAUGGGAAGUUGUGGUACAAGCGACGGUUGUUGAUUCCAAAGACAUCAAAGUUUAUUCCCUUAUUGCUACACGAGUUUCAUGACAGUAAGAUGGGGGUCAUGGUGGGGUACUUAAGACGGUUAAGCGAAUUCAAGAGUUAUUUCAUUUGGAAGGGAUAUAGAAGAUGGUCCAGAAGUAUGUUUCAGAAUACAGAGGUGUGGACUGAUUUAUUCAAAUGGUCGAGUACUGAUAUGGUUCAAAUUACCUAGAACUACUCUCUCAAAUAAGAGAUCAAUUGCAGUAUUUUAGGAUCGAAUUCACGGAGUUCUUUUGUUCAAAAAGUGAGUUAAAUGUCGAGAUUAAGCUAGCAGGGUAUAAGUGAAAUAGUAAGAAAACAAAAUAAGAAAACAGCAGAUUGAUUGGGUUAUAAACGAUUAGGAAAAGAGCUAGGAAACAAGGUAUUCUCAGGAAACUAUUGGUUAGUAGAUCUAAUGAAAGCUAGGUUGUUAUCGAACCAUUCUUAAACUCAAACUCUAAUUUUGAAAUAACCGGUGGGCGUGCCGUAAAACUCCCUAUAUCUAUAGCUAAUAAUAACCGGAGAAGCCGAGAAACUAUCAACCUAAAUAUGCAUUUUUAAUGAGUUUAAUUGUUCAUCUUAGUAGAUAGGCCAAUUCUUAUUACACACCUAUAAACCAGACUCAUCAAAUAAUAGAUCCAACUACAGAUACCUAUGGCGGGCAUAUCUACUGUCUUGAAAGCAUAAACACAGUAAAUAGAGAAGGGGAAAGAAGGGAUCUCUUCACUGUAUAUAGAUCUGAAUGAAACUCUGAGAAACAAUAGAUGAAUAGCUUAUGUCUCUCACAAUAGGGUUUGUAGAAAACUUGAUAAAAGACUUGAUAAAUGAAACUUAGGUCUAAAAACAAUAUAUAUAGACCCUAAAAACGUCCAGGGACUAAUAAUGCAAAUAAGGAAGUCUUCUGGGGCAAACUUGAGCUUCUGUAAACUCGAAAGCAUCUAGGGUUUUUGUUGGGCCGAAACUGGUGUCGAUCGACACUAAGAGUGUGUCGGUUGACACUCCUCGCUGAUUCCUGAACCAAAAUCGUCCUUAGCUUCCUUUUCCUUAGCUUUUGCUCCAAAAUGUCUCAUUAUCUCCAUUGUUGUCCCAUUGCAUAGAAUACCUGAAAAGACACUAAAAAUACUCGAGAAAUAACAGAAUGACUCAAAAUCCUAUACCUAAAACAGAGAUAAAAUCGGUGAAAAUCGGGUUAUAUCAACUCCCCCAGACUUAGCUUUUGUUUGCCCUCAAGCAAAACACAAAAGCCGAACCCGUGGAAGAGGUUUUGAAAACAAAGAAACUCCCAACAUUCUCUAGCCUAUUGCCAUGAUCAUUAAAACUAAGUCCAUAUGCCUAACAAGUCUAAUCAAAUCCUAACCAACAUGUACUUCUCUGCAAGCUUACACAACAUUUUAGAUUCCAUACCUAAAUUCAACAACUAUAUCCACCAGGCUUUCAUUGCUGGGUCUCAUCAAACAAGCCUACAUUCAAGAUACUUCUAAACUCAUUCCUGUACUAUACCAUGAUAAAUUGACCAUUCUUUAUAUAUUUUUUCUUUUUCGGUGUUCUUUCUCUCCCAGACUUAUUUUUUUAGAGAGUAAACAAAGGGGAACUCGCAUACUGGAUCGACACCCUCGACAUUUUUCCAACCUUUGUAAUUGAUCAUUCUAAAUAAUGUAUAAUAAUGGGGUCAUAGGAAACAUUGCUACCCCUAUAGUCGUCUCAAUCUCUCAUUAUAUUUUAUAUUUAUUUUUUAUUUAUUUUUUAUUAUAAGGGGAGAGGAACAUAUUCUUUUGAUCACAUUGGUCUCAAUAUCAGGUAUGAACAAGGAGUCAAGAUCUAUUAAUACUAACCGUUUGAAGAGGUAAAAGGAAGAGCAGUGAGAUUAGCUCCAGCCUUAGUGGUUGAGUUGGAAACUAGGAUAUCCUCAAGUCUGUUGCUUUGCCAUCUAGGUUUUCCAAUAGUCGGAUUGAUUCAAACCUGCAACACUCAUCAAUCAGGCAAUAAACAAGAGAAAUAUAGAUCAUGAUUCCUAACUAAACUAAAGAAAACGUUUUUUU